RNAcentral lists this transfer RNA (70 nucleotides) under Dipodomys ordii (Ord's kangaroo rat). It matches the Rfam family "tRNA". From Rfam's summary of the family: Transfer RNA (tRNA) molecules are approximately 80 nucleotides in length. The record is from Rfam by way of RNAcentral. Lineage: Eukaryota; Metazoa; Chordata; Mammalia; Rodentia; Heteromyidae.
GGGAAUGUGGCUUAGUGGUAGAGUGCUUGCCUAGCAAGCAUGAAGCCCUGGGUUCGAUUCCUCAGUACCA